This 460-nucleotide ribosomal RNA is filed under the name uncultured bacterium. RNAcentral describes it as "partial 16S ribosomal RNA". It matches the Rfam family "Bacterial small subunit ribosomal RNA", at positions 338 to 795 of the family's 1533-position model. The record is from RNAcentral.
CCUACGGGUGGCAGCAGUGAGGAAUAUUGGUCAAUGGCCGGAAGGCUGAACCAGCCAUGCCGCGUGAAGGUCAGUGCCCUAUGGGCGUUAAACUUCUUUUGUGCGGGAGCAAUAAUGGUCACGUGUGGCCAGACGAGAGUACCGUACGAAUAAGCCUCGGCUAACUCCGUGCCAGCAGCCGCGGUAAUUCGGGGGAUGCAAGCGUUAUCCGGGUUUAUUGGGUUUAAAGGGUGCGUAGGCUGUGAGGUAAGUCAGCGGUGAAAUGCCCCCGCUCAACGGGGUGAAGUGCCAUUGAUACUGGCUGGCUGGAAUGCGGAUGCCGUGGGAGGAAUGUGUGGUGUAGCGGUGAAAUGCAUAGAUAUCACACAGAACACCGAUUGCGAAGGCAUCUCACUAAUCCGCGAUUGACGCUGAUGCACGAAAGCGUGGGUAUCAAACAGGAUUAGAUACCCUGGUAGUC